RNAcentral lists this ribosomal RNA (509 nucleotides) under uncultured bacterium. Its description in RNAcentral is "bacterial SSU rRNA". It matches the Rfam family "Bacterial small subunit ribosomal RNA", at positions 28 to 527 of the family's 1533-position model. The record is from RNAcentral.
GACGAACGCUGGCGGCGUGGAUUAGGCAUGCAAGUCGAACGGUAUCAUCCUUUCGGGGGUGAGAGAGUGGCGAACUGGUGAGUAACACGUAGGUUAUCUACCCUCAAGACGGGGACAACCCAGGGAAACUUGGGCUAAUACCGGAUGUGAGCAACUUUUAGUUGUUUGAAAGGUGGCGUAAGCUGUCGCUUGGGGAUGAGCCUGCGUCCUAUUAGUUAGUUGGUGAGGUAACGGCUCACCUAGGCAAUGAUAGGUAGGCGGCCUUAACGGGUGGUCGCCCACACUGGGAUUGAGAUACGGCCCAGACUCCUACGGGAGGCAGCAGUCGAGAAUAGUCUACAAUGGUCGGAAGACUGAUAGUGCGACGCCGCGUGAACGAUGAAUCCCUUCGGGGUGUAAAGUUCUUUUAUAUGUGAGCAGUGCUUCUUAUAUUAACAGUAUGGGGAAGAGAUAUUAGCAUAUGAAUAAGCAAACGGCUAAACUCCGUGCCAGCAGCCGACGGUAAACUA